Heterocephalus glaber (naked mole-rat) is the source of this 506-nucleotide non-coding RNA. NCBI's taxonomy places the organism in Eukaryota, Metazoa, Chordata, Mammalia, Rodentia, Bathyergidae. The record is from RefSeq and is a predicted model, not a curated record.
AAUUCUAGAGGCCUCCCCUCGAGCUAAAACUGGGUUUUUUUAAUCCAAAGAGAAUGCAGUUCUGCAAAGGAAGAAGCACUGGGGCCAUCUCCACCAGCCCUGACAAGAUGAGUGCUGGCUUCCUGGAUGAAAAGUCUGAUCCCAGCAGAUCUGAUGAAUCAGGAAAAAUGAGUAACACAGGGGAAUCCCUUUUGGUUUAAAGCCCUUUGCCCAUUGGGAUCAACCAGAAGCUGGUGGAAAUGCAAGAGAUCUCAAGCCUCUGUUCACAAAAGUUCUUAUACUCCAUCUUCAGAGAAAAACGUGGAAUCCUUGCUUUGGAUGAGACAAAGGCAUCCAGCAAUGAGACUCUCAGAGCCUGAAGGCAGGCAAGUGACUCCAAAGUAUUAGAGGGUGAGGACGGGCAUGUCCUAAAAGUCACAGGUGGAAAGGAAGUUGGCCACUGUUGUAAAAUACUACUUGAUUUCUUUAUAGCACUUAUCUCUGAAUACAUGGGGUUUGUUCCUUUA